Molecule: ribosomal RNA, 254 nt
Filed under: uncultured bacterium
Lineage: Bacteria
Description: partial 16S ribosomal RNA
Rfam family: Bacterial small subunit ribosomal RNA
Source: RNAcentral
GACGUAGGGCGCGAGCGUUGUCCGGAUUUAUUGGGCGUAAAGAGCUCGUAGGUGGUUCGGUAAGUCGGAUGUGAAAUCUCCAGGCUCAACCUGGAGGGGUCAUUCGAUACUGCCGUGACUAGAGUUCGGUAGGGGAGUGUGGAAUUCCUGGUGGAGCGGUGAAAUGCGCAGAUAUCAGGAGGAACACCGGUGGCGAAGGCGGGUCUCUGGGCCGUAACUGACGCUGAGGAGCGAAAGCGUGGGGAGCGAACAGG